Molecule: ribosomal RNA, 253 nt
Filed under: uncultured bacterium
Lineage: Bacteria
Description: partial 16S ribosomal RNA
Rfam family: Bacterial small subunit ribosomal RNA
Source: RNAcentral
UACGAAGGGGGCAAGCGUUGUUCGGAAUUACUGGGCGUAAAGGGCUCGUAGGCGGCUUACCAAGUCAGGCGUGAAAUUCCCGGGCUCAACCUGGGGGCUGCGCUUGAUACUGGUGAGCUUGAAUGCGGGAGAGGAUAGUGGAAUUCCCAGUGUAGAGGUGAAAUUCGUAGAUAUUGGGAAGAACACCGGUGGCGAAGGCGGCUAUCUGGCCCGUAAUUGACGCUGAGGCGCGAAAGCGUGGGGAGCAAACAGG